This 200-nucleotide ribosomal RNA is filed under the name uncultured bacterium. RNAcentral describes it as "partial 16S ribosomal RNA". It matches the Rfam family "Bacterial small subunit ribosomal RNA", at positions 8 to 208 of the family's 1533-position model. The record is from RNAcentral.
AGAGUUUGAUCCUGGCUCAGGACGAACGCUGGCGGCGUGCCUAAUACAUGCAAGUCGAGCGGAGUUAUUCCUUCGGGGAUAACUUAGCGGCGGACGGGUGAGUAACACGUAGGCAACCUGCCUGUAAGACUGGGAUAACCCACGGAAACGUGAGCUAAUACCGGAUAAGUAAGCUCCUCGCAUGAGGGACUUAAGAAAGA